CCCAGACAGCCAGGAUGUUGGCUUAGAAGCAGCCAUCAUUUAAAGAAAGCGUAAUAGCUCACUGGUCGAGUCGGCCUGCGCGGAAGAUGUAACGGGGCUAAACCAUGCACCGAAGCUGCGGCAGCGACACUGUGUGUUGUUGGGUAGGGGAGCGUUCUGUAAGCCUGCGAAGGUGUCCCGUGAGGGAUGCUGGAGGUAUCAGAAGUGCGAAUGCUGACAUAAGUAACGAUAAAGCGGGUGAAAAGCCCGCUCGCCGGAAGACCAAGGGUUCCUGUCCAACGUUAAUCGGGGCAGGGUGAGUCGACCCCUAAGGC
This 314-nucleotide ribosomal RNA is filed under the name Salmonella enterica. Its description in RNAcentral is "partial 23S ribosomal RNA". It matches the Rfam family "Bacterial large subunit ribosomal RNA", at positions 1084 to 1397 of the family's 2925-position model. Lineage: Bacteria; Pseudomonadati; Pseudomonadota; Gammaproteobacteria; Enterobacterales; Enterobacteriaceae. The record is from RNAcentral. RNAcentral also lists the same sequence under 2 other names.